Molecule: non-coding RNA, 500 nt
Organism: Castor canadensis (American beaver)
Lineage: Eukaryota; Metazoa; Chordata; Mammalia; Rodentia; Castoridae
Source: RefSeq, a predicted model, not a curated record
GCUAUUACCAUGGGAAUGGUUCUUCUGAAUGAAGCAGCAACUUCCAAAGGAGAUGUUGGAAAAAGACGGAUAAUUUGCCUAGUGGGAUUAGGCCUGGUGGUGUUCUUCUUCAGUUUUCUACUUUCCAUAUUUCGUUCCAAGUACCAUGGCUAUCCCUAUAGCUUUUUAAUUAAAUGAAGCCAAGUUGCAUAAAGUGAAUGUUUACCAUGAAGAUAAACUGUUCCUGACCAUUACACUAUUUUGAAUUCUUGAGCUCAUUUCUUUGUUGACUGUGAUAAGCUAGCAUAUUCUUGUAUACUUUUUUUAACUGUGGGUGUUCCUUGUAAAUUUAACUUUUAGAAAUGGAUAGUAACAUUCAGUAAUCCACAAAGGAAACAUUAAAGUGUUUUGCAAGCAUAUUAUAUUGAGUGUGUACCAGAGGAUUGAAAUAAAUGGCAAUGUAACUACGAAUUCAUGUUUUAGAACUAUUCACUCAUUGGUAAAGGCAACCACCAUGUUAG